This 244-nucleotide unclassified non-coding RNA is filed under the name Glomus sp. RNAcentral describes it as "partial contains 5.8S ribosomal RNA and internal transcribed spacer 2". The stretch from base 1 to 65 matches the Rfam family "5.8S ribosomal RNA", at positions 84 to 154 of the family's 154-position model. The record is from RNAcentral. Lineage: Eukaryota; Fungi; Glomeromycota; Glomeromycetes; Glomerales; Glomeraceae.
GUGAAUCAUCGAAUUUUUGAACGCAAAUUGCACUCUCUUCGGAGAGUAUGCCUGUUUGAGGGUCAGCCUAUAAAAAAUCGACAUAGUUGCUGUUUCGCGGUGGCGUUCGUCGGAAAUCGGGUCAUCUUAAAUCUUUUGGUUUUAAGCGACUUAAAAUUUUCUUUUUGGUUCCAUGAACGUUUCUAAGAUUUAUUUCUUUAAAGUUUAAAGGUAUCGUCUUUUUUUGAAGGUGACGUUCAUACCG